UGGGGAAUUUUGGACAAUGGGCGAAAGCCUGAUCCAGCAAUGCCGCGUGUGUGAAGAAGGCCUUCGGGUUGUAAAGCACUUUUGUCCGGAAAGAAAUCCUUGGCUCUAAUACAGUCGGGGGAUGACGGUACCGGAAGAAUAAGCACCGGCUAACUACGUGCCAGCAGCCGCGGUAAUACGUAGGGUGCAAGCGUUAAUCGGAAUUACUGGGCGUAAAGCGUGCGCAGGCGGUUUGCUAAGACCGAUGUGAAAUCCCCGGGCUCAACCUGGGAACUGCAUUGGUGACUGGCAGGCUAGAGUAUGGCAGAGGGGGGUAGAAUUCCACGUGUAGCAGUGAAAUGCGUAGAGAUGUGGAGGAAUACCGAUGGCGAAGGCAGCCCCCUGGGCCAAUACUGACGCUCAUGCACGAAAGCGUGGGGGAGCAAACAGGAUUAGAUACCCUGGUAGUCCACGCCCUAAACGAUGUCAACUAGUUGUUGGGGAUUCAUUUCCUUAGUAACGUA
RNAcentral lists this ribosomal RNA (503 nucleotides) under uncultured bacterium. RNAcentral's name for it is "partial 16S ribosomal RNA". It matches the Rfam family "Bacterial small subunit ribosomal RNA", at positions 355 to 850 of the family's 1533-position model. The record is from RNAcentral.